CAGUCGCCACGGUAAUACGAAGGGGGCUAGCGUUGUUCGGAAUUACUGGGCGUAAAGCGCGCGUAGGCGGACAUUUAAGUCAGGGGUGAAAUCCCGGGGCUCAACCCCGGAACUGCCUCUGAUACUGGGUGUCUAGAGUUCGGAAGAGGUAAGUGGAAUUGCGAGUGUAGAGGUGAAAUUCGUAGAUAUUCGCAGGAACACCAGUGGCGAAGGCGACUUACUGGUCCGAUACUGACGCUGAGGUGCGAAAGCGUGGGGAGCAAACAGGAUUAGAUACCCCGGUAGUCCCUGUCUCUUAUAC
Molecule: ribosomal RNA, 301 nt
Filed under: uncultured bacterium
Lineage: Bacteria
Description: partial 16S ribosomal RNA
Rfam family: Bacterial small subunit ribosomal RNA
Source: RNAcentral